Molecule: ribosomal RNA, 446 nt
Filed under: uncultured bacterium
Lineage: Bacteria
Description: bacterial SSU rRNA
Rfam family: Bacterial small subunit ribosomal RNA
Source: RNAcentral
AACGAACGCUGGCGGCAGGCCUAACACAUGCAAGUCGAGCGCGCCUUCGGGUGAGCGGCGGACGGGUUAGUAACGCGUGGGAACGUACCCUUUUCUACGGAAUAGCCUUUGGAAACGAAGAGUAAUACCGUAUACGCCCUUUGGGGGAAAGAUUUAUCGGAGAAGGAUCGGCCCGCGUUAGAUUAGAUAGUUGGUGGGGUAACGGCCUACCAAGUCUACGAUCUAUAGCUGGUUUUAGAGGAUGAUCAGCAACACUGGGACUGAGACACGGCCCAGACUCCUACGGGAGGCAGCAGUGGGGGAAUCUUAGACAAUGGGCGCAAGCCUGAUCUAGCCAUGCCGCGUGAGUGAUGAAGGCCUUAGGGUCGUAAAGCUCUUUCGCCUGUGAUGAUAAUGACAGUAGCAGGUAAAGAAACCCCGGCUAACUCCGUGCCAGCCGCCGCGGU